RNAcentral lists this ribosomal RNA (253 nucleotides) under uncultured bacterium. RNAcentral's name for it is "partial 16S ribosomal RNA". It matches the Rfam family "Bacterial small subunit ribosomal RNA", at positions 524 to 776 of the family's 1533-position model. The record is from RNAcentral.
UACGUAGGACGCAAGCGUUAUCCGGAGUUACUGGGCGUAAAGAGCGCGUAGGCGGUUUGUUAAGUCUGCUGUGAAAGCACCUGGCUAAACUGGGGGAGGCCGGCGGAUACUGGCAAGCUAGAGUGAGGCAGAGGCAGAUGGAAUUCCGCGUGUAGCGGUGAAAUGCGUAGAGAUGCGGAGGAACACCAGUGGCGAAGGCGGUCUGCUGGGUCUCAACUGACGCUGAGGCGCGAAAGCGUGGGGAGCGAACGGG